This 1432-nucleotide ribosomal RNA is filed under the name uncultured organism. RNAcentral's name for it is "16S ribosomal RNA". It matches the Rfam family "Bacterial small subunit ribosomal RNA". The record is from RNAcentral.
CAGGCUUAACACAUGCAAGUCGAGGGGCAGCAUGGUCUUAGCUUGCUAAGGCCGAUGGCGACCGGCGCACGGGUGAGUAACGCGUAUCCAACCUGCCUUACACUCUUGGACAGCCUUCUGAAAGGGAGAUUAAUACAAGAUGUUAUCAUGAGUAAGCAUUUUCGCAUGAUUAAAGGUUUACCGGUGUAAGAUGGGGAUGCGUUCCAUUAGAUAGUAGGCGGGGUAACGGCCCACCUAGUCUUCGAUGGAUAGGGGUUCUGAGAGGAAGGUCCCCCACAUUGGAACUGAGACACGGUCCAAACUCCUACGGGAGGCAGCAGUGAGGAAUAUUGGUCAAUGGACGAGAGUCUGAACCAGCCAAGUAGCGUGAAGGAUGAAGGUUCUAUGGAUUGUAAACUUCUUUUAUACGGGAAUAAACGGAUCCACGUGUGGAUUUUUGCAUGUACCGUAUGAAUAAGGAUCGGCUAACUCCGUGCCAGCAGCCGCGGUAAUACGGAGGAUCCGAGCGUUAUCCGGAUUUAUUGGGUUUAAAGGGAGCGUAGAUGGGUUGUUAAGUCAGUUGUGAAAGUUUGCGGCUCAACCGUAAAAUUGCAAUUGAUACUGGCAGUCUUGAGUACAGUUGAGGUAGGCGGAAUUCGUGGUGUAGCGGUGAAAUGCUUAGAUAUCACGAAGAACUCCGAUUGCGAAGGCAGCUUACUAACCUGUAACUGACAUUGAUGCUCGAAAGUGUGGGUAUCAAACAGGAUUAGAUACCCUGGUAGUCCACACGGUAAACGAUGAAUACUCGCUGUAGGCGAUAUACAGUCUGCGGCCAAGCGAAAGCAUUAAGUAUUCCACCUGGGGAGUACGCCGGCAACGGUGAAACUCAAAGGAAUUGACGGGGGCCCGCACAAGCGGAGGAACAUGUGGUUUAAUUCGAUGAUACGCGAGGAACCUUACCCGGGCUUAAAUUGCAACCGAAUAUGGCGGAAACGCUAUAGCUAGCAAUAGCGGUUGUGAAGGUGCUGCAUGGUUGUCGUCAGCUCGUGCCGUGAGGUGUCGGCUUAAGUGCCAUAACGAGCGCAACCCUUGCCGAUAGUUACUAACAGGUUAUGCUGAGGACUCUGUCGGGACUGCCAUCGUAAGAUGUGAGGAAGGUGGGGAUGACGUCAAAUCAGCACGGCCCUUACGUCCGGGGCUACACACGUGUUACAAUGGGGGGUACAGAGGGCUGCUACCACGCAAGUGGAUGCCAAUCCCAAAAACCUCUCUCAGUUCGGAUUGAAGUCUGCAACCCGACUUCAUGAAGCUGGAUUCGCUAGUAAUCGCGCAUCAGCCACGGCGCGGUGAAUACGUUCCCGGGCCUUGUACACACCGCCCGUCAAGCCAUGGGAGCCGGGGGUACCUGAAGUGCGUAACCGCAAGGAGCGCCCUAGGGUAAAACUGGUGACUG